Molecule: ribosomal RNA, 506 nt
Filed under: uncultured bacterium
Lineage: Bacteria
Description: partial 16S ribosomal RNA
Rfam family: Bacterial small subunit ribosomal RNA
Source: RNAcentral
AGUGAACGCUGGCGGUAGGCCUAACACAUGCAAGUCGAACGGCAGCACAGAGGAGCUUGCUCCUUGGGUGGCGAGUGGCGGACGGGUGAGGAAUACAUCGGAAUCUACUCUGUCGUGGGGGAUAACGUAGGGAAACUUACGCUAAUACCGCAUACGACCUACGGGUGACAGCGGGGGAUCUUCGGACCUUGCGCGAUUGAAUGAGCCGAUGUCGGAUUAGUUAGUUGGCGGGGUAAAGGCCCACCAAGGCGACGAUCCGUAGCUGGUCUGAGAGGAUGAUCAGCCACACUGGAACUGAGACACGGUCCAGACUCCUACGGGAGGCAGCAGUGGGGAAUAUUGGACAAUGGGCGCAAGCCUGAUCCAGCCAUACCGCGUGGGUGAAGAAGGCCUUCGGGUUGUAAAGCCCUUUUGUUGGGAAAGAAAUCCAGCUGGCUAAUACCCGGUUGGGAUGACGGUACCCAAAGAAUAAGCACCGGCUAACUUCGUGCCAGCCGCCGCCGUAA